This 628-nucleotide ribosomal RNA is filed under the name Salmonella enterica subsp. enterica serovar Enteritidis. Its description in RNAcentral is "bacterial LSU rRNA". It matches the Rfam family "Bacterial large subunit ribosomal RNA", at positions 1 to 662 of the family's 2925-position model. Lineage: Bacteria; Pseudomonadati; Pseudomonadota; Gammaproteobacteria; Enterobacterales; Enterobacteriaceae. The record is from RNAcentral.
GGGUUGUGAGGUUAAGCGACUAAGCGUACACGGUGGAUGCCCUGGCAGUCAGAGGCGAUGAAGGGCGUGCUAAUCUGCGAUAAGCGCCGGUAAGGUGAUAUGAACCGUUAUAACCGGCGAUACCCGAAUGGGGAAACCCAGUGUGACUCGUCACACUAUCAUUAACUGAAUCCAUAGGUUAAUGAGGCGAACCGGGGGAACUGAAACAUCUAAGUACCCCGAGGAAAAGAAAUCAACCGAGAUUCCCCCAGUAGCGGCGAGCGAACGGGGAGGAGCCCAGAGCCUGAAUCAGCAUGUGUGUUAGUGGAAGCGUCUGGAAAGGCGCGCGAUACAGGGUGACAGCCCCGUACACAAAAGCGCAUGUGCUGUGAGCUCGAUGAGUAGGGCGGGACACGUGGUAUCCUGUCUGAAUAUGGGGGGACCAUCCUCCAAGGCUAAAUACUCCUGACUGACCGAUAGUGAACCAGUACCGUGAGGGAAAGGCGAAAAGAACCCCGGCGAGGGGAGUGAAAAAGAACCUGAAACCGUGUACGUACAAGCAGUGGGAGCACCCUUUGGGUGUGACUGCGUACCUUUUGUAUAAUGGGUCAGCGACUUAUAUUCUGUAGCAAGGUUAACCGAAUAGGGG